Molecule: non-coding RNA, 109 nt
Organism: Acanthosepion pharaonis
Lineage: Eukaryota; Metazoa; Mollusca; Cephalopoda; Sepiida; Sepiidae
Source: the annotation of a GenBank genome assembly
GCCAUAUCAAUUUGAAACACCAGUUCUUGUAUGAUCACCAAAGUUAAGUAAUGCCGAGCCUGGUCAGUAACUACAUGGGUGACUGCAUGGGAAUAUCAGAUGCUGUAAG